UACGUAGGGGGCUAGCGUUGUCCGGAAUCAUUGGGCGUAAAGCGCGUGUAGGCGGCCCGGUAAGUCCGCUGUGAAAGUCGGGGGCUCAACCCUCGGAUGCCGGUGGAUACUGUCGGGCUCGAGUACGGAAGAGGCGAGUGGAAUUCCUGGUGUAGUGGUGAAAUACGUAGAUAUCUGGAGGAAUACCGGAGGCGAAGGCGGGUAGCUGGCCAGACACUGACACUCAGACCCGAAAGCGUGGGGAUCAAACAGG
Molecule: ribosomal RNA, 253 nt
Filed under: uncultured bacterium
Lineage: Bacteria
Description: partial 16S ribosomal RNA
Rfam family: Bacterial small subunit ribosomal RNA
Source: RNAcentral